AACGAACGCUGGCGGCGUGCCUAACACAUGCAAGUCGUGCGAGAAAGUUCCUUCGGGAGCGAGUAAAGCGGCGCACGGGUGAGUAACACGUAGGUAACCUGCCCCCCAGUCUGGAACAACUAGAGGAAACUCUAGCUAAUGCCGGAUGAGACCACGUUCCCUUCGGGGGUUGCGGCCAAAGAUGGCCUCUACUUGUAAGCUAUCGCUGAGGGAUGGGCCUGCGGGCCAUUAGCUUGUUGGUGAGGUAACGGCUCACCAAGGCUGUGAUGGCUAGCUGGUCUGAGAGGAUGACCAGCCACACUGGGACUGAGACACGGCCCAGACUCCUACGGGAGGCAGCAGUGGGGAAUAUUGCGCAAUGGGCGAAAGCCUGACGCAGCGACGCCGCGUGGGUGAUGAAGGCC
Molecule: ribosomal RNA, 404 nt
Filed under: uncultured bacterium
Lineage: Bacteria
Description: bacterial SSU rRNA
Rfam family: Bacterial small subunit ribosomal RNA
Source: RNAcentral